UAUAAUGUAUGUGUGAAGAAGAAUGUUUUAUAAUUUUUAAAUUGAUAAAAACAUACAAUAUUAUUACUUCUAAAGGGGAGAAAAUAUGGUUGCAGUUACCAAGUUAAUUAAUGUUAUGCUUAUCUUUCUUACCUUGUUUCUUGGUGCAUUGAGUAUUUUCCCGGAGCAUAAUGAAUGCCGAACAAGUUUUGAUUGUCGAAAAUAUUUUUGUCAGUUACCUCUUAGACCAACGUGUAAUUAUGUGGAAAUUUUCCGUCAUUACUAUGAUACCACUUGUGGUUGUGCUUGAGUAAUGUGACCAUAAGUUUUUGGUAUAAAAUUCCACGACCUGUAAUUUUGUUAAUAUGUCUGCUACAAUUAUUUAUUGUAGACAUUAUUGUAAUGAAUUUUGUACUCUAAAUUAAAGGUAUUGAAAUGAAAUAAAGAAGAAAGUAAUACUAUUUAGAUCAUCGUCAA
This is a long non-coding RNA of Medicago truncatula (barrel medic), 456 nucleotides long. RefSeq lists it as uncharacterized. NCBI's taxonomy places the organism in Eukaryota, Viridiplantae, Streptophyta, Magnoliopsida, Fabales, Fabaceae. The transcript has 2 exons. The record is from RefSeq and is a predicted model, not a curated record.